This 378-nucleotide unclassified non-coding RNA is filed under the name plant metagenome. Its description in RNAcentral is "partial contains 5.8S ribosomal RNA, internal transcribed spacer 2, and large subunit ribosomal RNA". The stretch from base 1 to 105 matches the Rfam family "5.8S ribosomal RNA", at positions 50 to 154 of the family's 154-position model. The record is from RNAcentral.
GAAAGGGGAGAAGUAAUGUGAAUUGCAGAAUUCAGUGAAUCAUCGAAUCUUUGAACGCACAUUGCGCUCCUUGGUAUUCCUUGGAGCAUGCCUGUUUGAGUAUCAUGAAAUCUUCAAAGUAAAUCUUUUGUUAACUCAAUUGGUUUCUACUUUGGUAUUGGAGGUCUUUGCAGCUUCACACCUGCUCCUCUUUGUUCAUUAGCUGGAUCUCAGUGUUAUGCUUGGUUCCACUCGGCGUGAUAAGUUAUCUAUCGCUGAGGACACUGUAAAAGGUGGCCAAGGUAAAUGCAGAUGAACCGCUUCUAAUAGUCCAUUGACUUGGACAAUACUUUUAUGAUCUGAUCUCAAAUCAGGUAGGACUACCCGCUGAACUUAAGC